UACGUAGGGGGCAAGCGUUGUCCGGAAUCAUUGGGCGUAAAGCGCGUGUAGGCGGUUCGAUAAGUCUGCUGUGAAAGUCCAGGGCUCAACCCUGGGAUGCCGGUGGAUACUGUCGAGUUAGAGUACGGAAGAGGCGAGUGGAAUUCCCGGUGUAGCGGUGAAAUGCGCAGAUAUCGGGAGGAACACCAAUUCGAAGGCAGCUCGCUGGGACGUCACUGACGCUAAGACGCGAAAGCGUGGGGAGCAAACAGG
RNAcentral lists this ribosomal RNA (252 nucleotides) under uncultured bacterium. Its description in RNAcentral is "partial 16S ribosomal RNA". It matches the Rfam family "Bacterial small subunit ribosomal RNA", at positions 524 to 776 of the family's 1533-position model. The record is from RNAcentral.